Molecule: ribosomal RNA, 450 nt
Filed under: uncultured bacterium
Lineage: Bacteria
Description: bacterial SSU rRNA
Rfam family: Bacterial small subunit ribosomal RNA
Source: RNAcentral
AACGAACGCUGGCGGCAGGCCUAACACAUGCAAGUCGAACGAGACCUUCGGGUCUAGUGGCGCACGGGUGCGUAACGCGUGGGAAUUUGCCCUUGGGUGCGGAAUAACUCUCCGAAAGGAGUGCUAAUACCGCAUAAUGACUCCGGUCCAAAGAUUUAUCGCCCAAGGAUAAGCCCGCGUCGGAUUAGCUUGUUGGUGAGGUAAAAGCUCACCAAGGCGACGAUCCGUAGCUGGUCUGAGAGGAUGAUCAGCCACACUGGGACUGAGACACGGCCCAGACUCCUACGGGAGGCAGCAGUGGGGAAUAUUGGACAAUGGGGGAAACCCUGAUCCAGCCAUGCCGCGUGAGUGAUGAAGGCCUUAGGGUUGUAAAGCUCUUUUACCAGGGAUGAUAAUGACAGUACCUGGAGAAUAAGCUCCGGCUAACUCCGUGCCAGCCGCCGCGGUAAU